Molecule: non-coding RNA, 372 nt
Organism: Pimephales promelas (fathead minnow)
Lineage: Eukaryota; Metazoa; Chordata; Actinopteri; Cypriniformes; Leuciscidae
Source: RefSeq, a predicted model, not a curated record
UAAUUGUCUAUCUUCGUUCUCCUACCAGAUGAAUGCCACGGGCUGUGCCUCUCUUACUGUUGAUGCGUCAGUGUUUUUCAACCCCAACGUUGAAGAGCAAAUGCGAGACACAUUUCUUGUGAAUGACACUGAGGAGAGAACAGAUGUAAUGUGUCAAUCUGCAACGGUGUCCAUUAUGUGUGUAGUUGGCAAAGUCACAUUUGUGGACCUCUUGGUUCGAUGCUUAAUGGAAAGAUCUACGUGACUCGACAAAGCUGUAUAUCUCUUGGAGGGGAGCAAGUGGCCCAACAAACUGCUUUCGAAUCAUCCACAAACAAGAAUGGAUGGGCUGCGUUCUCCCUAAACACUGUUAAUCUUAAGGCUGAUCUGAAU